This 465-nucleotide ribosomal RNA is filed under the name Vreelandella stevensii. RNAcentral describes it as "partial 16S ribosomal RNA". It matches the Rfam family "Bacterial small subunit ribosomal RNA", at positions 338 to 795 of the family's 1533-position model. Lineage: Bacteria; Pseudomonadati; Pseudomonadota; Gammaproteobacteria; Oceanospirillales; Halomonadaceae. The record is from RNAcentral.
CCUACGGGAGGCAGCAGUGGGGAAUAUUGGACAAUGGGCGAAAGCCUGAUCCAGCCAUGCCGCGUGUGUGAAGAAGGCCUUCAGGUUGUAAAGCACUUUCAGUGGGGAAGAAAGCCUUGGGGCUAAUACCCUCGAGGAAGGACAUCACCCACAGAAGAAGCACCGGCUAACUCCGUGCCAGCAGCCGCGGUAAUACGGAGGGUGCGAGCGUUAAUCGGAAUUACUGGGCGUAAAGCGCGCGUAGGCGGUCUGAUAAGCCGGUUGUGAAAGCCCCGGGCUCAACCUGGGAACGGCAUCCGGAACGGUCAGGCUAGAGUGCAGGAGAGGAAGGUAGAAUUCCCGGUGUAGCGGUGAAAUGCGUAGAGAUCGGGAGGAAUACCAGUGGCGAAGGCGGCCUUCUGGACUGACACUGACGCUGAGGUGCGAAAGCGUGGGUAGCAAACAGGAUUAGAUACCCUGGUAGUC